UCGAAACACAUAUGAAUGUUGUAGAUCUUUUUAUUUUGUUUUUAAUUGUUUGAUUGUUUGUUUUGUUUUGUAUGUAUUUUUUCCUUCUUGCGGAAAUAGAAGUACAUUCUCCCAUUUCCGGUUUGAUACCACGUGAAGAAUCAUUUGAGCCACGAGGUUGGUCAGAAGACGUUCUGGUCUCAAUUCGGAGCGGUGGUGAGCACAUGUUUGGGACAAUGUGACUUGUUUUAAUAAGAAAAAUUAUCAAUCAUACAAGAACAAUGAAGAAGAUGCUAUGCCAGUUAAAACAGAAAUGGAUUCACUGAAUAUGAAAGAGAAGAAUUGACAUAACAGAAAAGAUGGAAGAGCAUUAUCCUUAGUAUAUUUAGUUGGAGGAAGAAAGAAUGGACUAAAGAAUUGGUACGAAUUGGCAGAAGAUGGUGGUACAACUUCUUAUGGUCUUUUUAAAUUUUAGGUCUAGAAACCCCUGCAUUUGUAUAAUGUAAAACAUGGGUGCUCUUUCGCAAAAUUUUGACUUUUGUUGAUCACAAAUUAUUCUGAAAUGUUAAAUAUUUGUGCAAUUAGUCUCUAGGAUCUGAUAACCAUUACAAUAUAUUCUGCAGAGAACAAAUGAUGAUUAAACAUUCUGCCAAAUGAAUAAUAUGAUUAUAAUCCAAGCCCGUAUCUUCUAACUGAUGUUCUCUGUUAUUGAAUAGAUUGAUAUUUGCUUGAAAGAUUCUUGUAGAUUUCUCACUACCAUUGACUGCAAAUAGAACAAAGAUCUGUGAACUAUGAAACUGUUGCUGUCUAAUCAAUAAAUUCCCUUUUGAAAAGUAUUAUUUGUGUGGAGCAUUUCCUUAAAAAGUAAAUUUUUGGUAGAUGGAUUUUGUUCAUUUGUCACAGUUCAGCAAUCUUAAUAAUAUGCUCACAAAGUUUAUGAAUUAACAUUAAUUUUAUUGAAAAACUCUGAUAUAGUUCACUACUUGUAUUUUGAGAGAAAAACCAAAAAAUGUGAACUGAAUAAAGGUUAACAAGUAAACUGACCCCUGGAUCCCAUUAUAUAUAUUUGACAUAGAACAAAUGUUGAUUAACAUUCUGCCAAAUGAACUAAAGUGAUUAUAAUCCAAGCCCGUAUAUUUUAUCUGAUGUUCUAUACAAUUUAUCAUUUGAUGUGUUAAUGCUAAAUAGACUCCAAAUCAUAAAUCCUUGCAAGUUUUAACUGACAUCAAGUAAAGUGAUGGAAUUUCUGUUGAAUGUGUAAUUAAAUCUUUUUUUUUAAGUAGAACGUACACAAGCCUUGGCUUAUACAAAAUUAAAAAAUUGUGAUAAAAUUUCAACAUAUCGAGUUGAUGGAACAAAACAUUUUGAUAUCAUUUUUGCGGUGAUGAAGAAUUUUCCAUUCAUUCGCGGUUUCCACCAGAGAGUUCUUGAACUCGAAGAUGGCUUUUGACCUUCCUUGGAUGUCUGAGUAAAAUUGAUACAGAAAAAAAGUCCAUCAACAAUGUCUUAAAAUUGUGAUAGCUUAUAGCAGCAUUUCAUGAGAUCAGCUGACAAGAGUGCCAACAUUUAAAAUGUUUUCUUUUUAGCUAAAAUAAGAUUGCCAACACAAUUAUCUACAAUUUAUCAUAUUUUUGAUAAAUAAAAAAACAAGUUUGAGAUUUGCUGUGCUAUUUACCAAAGUCAACUAAUUGUCUGAUUUAUUUCAGAUUUGUUGCUCAUCAACUUCCUAAAUAUACCUUUUAUAUAAUGGCAAUGUGUGAAAUUUUUAUAGCAUUUUAGCGAAAAACUAAAAUAAACAAUUUAAAAGAAACAAAUGGUUAGCAAGCAGGGUUGGUAAACUAUGAUGCAUACAGGUUUAUUAAAUUUGAAAUCUAGAUUUUCUUGUCCAAAAAGUUAGCUGAGUGGAAUCCUUUGAUUGUACUUUUAGAAUGAAUACAUUUUUGAGUUAAAUUUGAAGUCCGUUUAAUUGAUAGAAAUGAUUACAACAGGGUACAAGGCUGGCAAGACUAGAUUUUGAUAUCAAUUUUGCGAUGAUGAAGAAUUUUCCAUUCAUUCGCGGUUUCCACCAGAGAGUUCUUGAACUCGAAGAUGGCUAUUGACCUUCCUUGGAUGUCUGAGUAAAAUUGAUACAAAUAAGAUGUCUUAAUAAUGUCUUUUGCCUACAUGUAUAUAUGCUGUAAACAUGGGCGGGUUGGUAGGAAAAUUGCAAGUUUAAUUUGAAUUGAGAAUACUUGUUCAUAAAUGUCUUGUGAUAUAAUUUUUUGUAAUGAUGGGCAAGGUUAAGCUAAAUAUUAUAACACAUAUUUAUUAUUAACUGUUCAUACCUAUAGCUAGCAUAUGUUUAUUUGUUGCAAAUCUUCUGAACAAACAAUAUUGUUUGAGUGUUGGAAUCUGGCAAAUUUGGGAGAGCCGAGGGUUAGCAGUGGAAAAUUUCAAAAUAUUUUUUUAGCCAGUGUUUUAAAAGUAAUUUGAGUUUACAAAGUAUGCUAUAUGUUGGAUAUAAAUUACAUAUGAAGUUUCUUCUAUGCAGCCUUUUACAAGAUUGACUGAAAUUUAAUUAACCUUUCUUUGAAUGAUGAUCAGCUUGAACUCUCUCACUGAAGUUGAUGAAGAAAUAGCUGCGGAUAGCUGACAAAGAAAAAGUUUUAAUUUGAAUUGAUUAUAGUUUGUUUGCAAUUAGUCCAGUGUGAGAGGUGGUUAAAUCUGGUAAAACAACUAUUUCUGACCUUAUCCAAAAUACCCUCAAAUUGCAGGGUGGUCUAAAUUUCCCAAACAUUUAUAUCAUCAUGAACAGUCUCCUUUACAUGAUCUGUCCAUUGUAUUAUUCAUUUGUUUUCAUCCAGAACAUGCAUGAAAUAUUUGCCUCUGGAUUCUGAACAUCCCAACUAAGUAAGAUAACCUUCCAAGGCUGUAUUUUGACUAGUUAGAUUCUACUUCAUUUGAUCAUGGAUUUUAGUCGCAUUGACAAUUCACAUCUUAAGUUUUAAAUUGGAAUCCUUUGAAUGAUGAUCAGCUUGAACUCUCUCACUGAAGUUGAUGAAGAAAUAGCUGCGGAUAGCUGACAAAGGAAACCCUCAUUUUUCUUCCUCUUGAAAAGUAAGGCCAAAAAAAUUAUGUCUGUUUAGGUAACCCGACCUGCUCCAAUUUGAGUGCCGACCCUAAGCCAUUUUAAUUCUGUCGUAAAGUGAAAAAUUAAUAGAACUUGUGUCAAUAUCAAAGUAAGGGUUGCCAAUAAAUUUAAUCAAUUGCCUGAUACAUCCCAAUGUUCAUAAUCACGAUAUGAAAGCUGUUUAAAGGAAACUUGUAACUCUUGUAAUGGAAAU
This is a long non-coding RNA of Mytilus trossulus (common blue mussel), 3302 nucleotides long. RefSeq lists it as uncharacterized. The record is from RefSeq and is a predicted model, not a curated record. NCBI's taxonomy places the organism in Eukaryota, Metazoa, Mollusca, Bivalvia, Mytilida, Mytilidae. The transcript has 4 exons.